RNAcentral lists this ribosomal RNA (267 nucleotides) under uncultured bacterium. Its description in RNAcentral is "partial 16S ribosomal RNA". It matches the Rfam family "Bacterial small subunit ribosomal RNA", at positions 335 to 599 of the family's 1533-position model. The record is from RNAcentral.
UGUCCUACGGGGGGCAGCAGUGAGGAAUAUUGGUCAAUGGGCGAGAGCCUGAACCAGCCAAGUCGCGUGAGGGAAGACGGUCCUAUGGAUUGUAAACCUCUUUUGCCGGGGAGCAAAAAGCGGUACGUGUACCGCAUCGAGAGUACCCGGAGAAAAAGCAUCGGCUAACUCCGUGCCAGCAGCCGCGGUAAUACGGAGAAUGCGAGCGUUAUCCGGAUUCAUUGGGUUUAAAGGGUGCGCAGGCGGGCCUUUAAGCCGGCGGGGAAA